This 499-nucleotide ribosomal RNA is filed under the name uncultured bacterium. RNAcentral describes it as "bacterial SSU rRNA". It matches the Rfam family "Bacterial small subunit ribosomal RNA", at positions 14 to 518 of the family's 1533-position model. The record is from RNAcentral.
CGAUUCUGGCUCAGGAUGAACGCUGGCGGCGUGCUUAACACAUGCAAGUCGAACGGAGUAUAUUUAAAAGCUUGCUUUGUUAUACUUAGUGGCGGACGGGUGAGUAACGCGUGGGUAACCUGCCUUAUACCGGGGGACAACAGUUGGAAACGACUGCUAAUACCGCAUAAGCGCACAGUCUCGCAUGAGACAGUGUAGAAAAACUCCGGUGGUAUAAGAUGGACCCGCGUCUGAUUAGCCAGUUGGCGGUGUAACGGACCACCAAAGCGACGAUCAGUAGCCGGCCUGAGAGGGUGAACGGCCACAUUGGGACUGAGACACGGCCCAAACUCCUACGGGAGGCUGCAGUGGGGAAUAUUGCACAAUGGAGGAAACUCUGAAUGCAGCGACGCCGCGUGAGUGAAGAAGUUAUUUCGGUAUGUAAAGCUCUAUCAGCAAGGAAAAGAAAAUGACGGUACCUGACUAAGAACGCCCCGGCUAACUACGUGCCAGCCGCGGC